This is a long non-coding RNA of Diabrotica virgifera virgifera (western corn rootworm), 420 nucleotides long. RefSeq lists it as uncharacterized. Lineage: Eukaryota; Metazoa; Arthropoda; Insecta; Coleoptera; Chrysomelidae. The transcript has 2 exons. The record is from RefSeq and is a predicted model, not a curated record.
UUCAGUGUUCGUGUUCGUUCGUUCGUUGUCGUUCAGUUAUUUUAUAUGGUCGGUUAUGUGAUGUGUUUGUGUCACCAUAAAAAGCUAAUAUUCAGUCGUGUUUUUUGAUAUUUUGUAAUCGAGUACCUUUUUAAAGGUCUAAUGGCUCCGUUCAGCUGUUGUGUGCAGACGGUGGAAAAGUUCAACAAGUAAACAUUUAUUUAAUCCAAAUUAAAUACUCAUAUUUCUAUGUAAAAUGUCACAUUAUUUUAUAAAUAAAUAAGUAAGAAACAAAAGUUGUUUGUGUUUUACCUUUAUUGUCCAAUUGAAUAAAAUAUUACAUAUUGGAAGUACCGUAUGGAGGCUAUGUACCUAGCAUGGAGGCUAGAUUAUGGCACCCUUCCUAUCCAAUCAACAACAAGAGCGUUUAAAAUUUCACAC